Molecule: ribosomal RNA, 253 nt
Filed under: uncultured bacterium
Lineage: Bacteria
Description: partial 16S ribosomal RNA
Rfam family: Bacterial small subunit ribosomal RNA
Source: RNAcentral
UACGUAGGGGGCAAGCGUUGUCCGGAAUCAUUGGGCGUAAAGAGCUCGUAGGCGGUCUGUCGCGUCUGCUGUGAAAACUCAGGGCUUAACCCUGAGCUUGCAGUGGGUACGGGCAGACUAGAGUGCGGUAGGGGAGACUGGAAUUCCUGGUGUAGCGGUGAAAUGCGCAGAUAUCAGGAGGAACACCGGUGGCGAAGGCGGGUCUCUGGGCCGUAACUGACGCUGAGGAGCGAAAGCAUGGGGAGCGAACAGG